GCUGAGAUAGCUCAGUCGGUACAGCAUGAGACUCUUAAGCUUGGGGUCAUGGAUUGGAGCCCCACGUCGGGCA
Molecule: non-coding RNA, 73 nt
Organism: Podarcis lilfordi (Lilford's wall lizard)
Lineage: Eukaryota; Metazoa; Chordata; Lepidosauria; Squamata; Lacertidae
Source: the annotation of a GenBank genome assembly